RNAcentral lists this ribosomal RNA (503 nucleotides) under uncultured bacterium. RNAcentral describes it as "partial 16S ribosomal RNA". It matches the Rfam family "Bacterial small subunit ribosomal RNA", at positions 30 to 523 of the family's 1533-position model. The record is from RNAcentral.
AUUGAACGCUGGCGGCAGGCUUAACACAUGCAAGUCGAGCGGGGUGAUGGUGCUUGCACUAUCACUUAGCGGCGGACGGGUGAGUCAUGCUUAGGAAUCUGCCUAUUAGUGGGGGACAACAUCUCGAAAGGGAUGCUAAUACCGCAUACGUCCUACGGGAGAAAGCAGGGGAUCACUUGUGACCUUGCGCUAAUAGCUGAGCCUAAGUCGGAUUAGCUAGUUGGGGGGGUAAAGGCCUACCAAGGCGACGAACUGUAGCGGGUCUGAGAGGUGAUGACGCCACAAUGGGACGGAGAGACGGCCCGGACUACUGCGGGGGGCAGAGGUGGGGAAGAUUGGAGAGUGGGGGGAACCCUGAUCAAGCCAUGCCGGGUGUGUGAAGAAGGCAUUAUGGUUGUAAAGCGCUUUACGCGAGGAGGAGGCUAUUUUGGUUAAAGCCGGAGAUGAGUGGACGUUACUCACAGAAUAAGCACCGGCUAACUCUGUGCCAGCCGCCGCCGUAA